RNAcentral lists this ribosomal RNA (257 nucleotides) under uncultured bacterium. Its description in RNAcentral is "partial 16S ribosomal RNA". It matches the Rfam family "Bacterial small subunit ribosomal RNA", at positions 334 to 588 of the family's 1533-position model. The record is from RNAcentral.
AUUUCAUACGGGAGGCAGCAGUGAGGAAUAUUGGUCAAUGGGCGCGAGCCUGAACCAGCCAAGUAGCGUGAAGGAUGACUGCCCUACGGGUUGUAAACUUCUUUUAUAAAGGAAUAAAGUGAGGCACGUGUGCCUUUUUGUAUGUAUUUUAUGAAUAAGGAUCGGCUAACUCCGUGCCAGCAGCCGCGGUAAUACGGAGGAUCCGAGCGUUAUCCGGAUUUAUUGGUUUUAAAGGGAGCGUAGAUGGUGUGUUAAGU